CGUUGAUCUACAAUUACCACAGCUACGAUGACAGAAAAUCACAUCCUUUGGAGCCGGAGGUGGCACAGUGCAGAGUUCUGGGUUGGCAGGCCAUACCCAUGGCAGGGUCGCAGGAAAAUCCUGGAACAAUGAAUGAGAGCUCCUGUUGCAGAGACACAAGAGCAGAAACUGCCCUGGGAACCAGUGCCUGGCUAGGGAAAACUGAGAAGGCAACAUAAAAAUGUUGAAUGAAUGAAAAAAAGUGAAGGAAGUGCAGAUACAUGGAGGAAGAGAAUUCCAGGCAGAGGAAACACAAAAUAUGAAGACUUUAAAGUGGGAGUGGUCUGUGUAGUGUCUUCAAUGAACGCCACAGAGUUAUGAGCUGGAGUGGAGUAAUGAUGAGAAGAAAAGUAGAAGAUGACAUCAGAAAGAUUGGCAGAUAGGAUUGUGGAUAGUCACAAAGCCCUGAGCUAACAUCUGCUGCCAAUCCUUCUCUUUUUGCUGAGGAAGCCUGGCCCUGAGCUAACGUCC
Molecule: long non-coding RNA, 510 nt
Filed under: Equus caballus (horse)
Lineage: Eukaryota; Metazoa; Chordata; Mammalia; Perissodactyla; Equidae
Description: lncRNA (ENSECAG00000056803.1)
Source: RNAcentral